GCCUACGGCCAUACCACCCUGAACACGCCCGAUCUCGUCUGAUCUCGGAAGCUAAGCAGGGUCGGGCCUGGCUAGUACUUGGAUGGGAGACCGCCUGGGAAUACCAGGUGUUGCAGGUU
RNAcentral lists this ribosomal RNA (119 nucleotides) under Pelobates cultripes (western spadefoot toad). Lineage: Eukaryota; Metazoa; Chordata; Amphibia; Anura; Pelobatidae. The record is from RNAcentral.